RNAcentral lists this ribosomal RNA (472 nucleotides) under uncultured bacterium. Its description in RNAcentral is "partial 16S ribosomal RNA". It matches the Rfam family "Bacterial small subunit ribosomal RNA", at positions 28 to 507 of the family's 1533-position model. The record is from RNAcentral.
GACGAACGCUGGCGGCGUGCUUAACACAUGCAAGUCGAACGCUGAAGCUUGGUGCUUGCACUGGGUGGAUGUGUGGCGAACGGGUGUGUAAUACGCGUGUAAACCGCGCUUGAUUCUGGGAUACGCCUGUGAAACUGGGUCUAAUACUGGAUAUGACAUGUUUCCGUGCGGUGGUGUGUGUAAAGGGUUUUUCUGGCUUUGGCUGGGCGCACGGUUUAUCAGCUUGUUGGUGGGGUAAUGGCUCACCACGUCGACGAGUGGUAGCCCACCUGAGAGGGGGACCGGCCCCACUGGGACUGAGGCACGGCCCAGACGGCUACGGGAGGCAGCGGUGGAAAAUAUUGCACAAUGGGCGGAAGCCUGAUACAACGACUCCGCGUGCGGAAUGACCGCUUUCGGGGUGUAAACCUCUUUCAGCUCGGAAGAAGCGAAAGUGACGGUACGUGCAGAAGAAGCGCCGGCUAACUACGUG